GGGGAAUUUUGGACAAUGGGGGCAACCCUGAUCCAGCCAUGCCGCGUGAGUGAAGAAGGCCUUCGGGUUGUAAAGCUCUUUCGGCCGGGAAGAAAUCGUGCAGGCUAAUACCCUGUAUGGAUGACGGUACCGGAAUAAGAAGCACCGGCUAACUACGUGCCAGCAGCCGCGGUAAUACGUAGGGUGCGAGCGUUAAUCGGAAUUACUGGGCGUAAAGGGUGCGUAGGCGGUUUAUCAAGUCAGGGGUGAAAGGCUACGGCUCAACCGUAGUGAGCCUCUGAAACUGGUGAACUUGAGUGUAGGAGAGGAAAGUGGAAUUCCCAGUGUAGCGGUGAAAUGCGUAGAUAUUGGGAGGAACACCAGUGGCGAAGGCGACUUUCUGGACUACAACUGACGCUGAGGCACGAAAGCGUGGGGAGCAAACA
Molecule: ribosomal RNA, 425 nt
Filed under: uncultured bacterium
Lineage: Bacteria
Description: bacterial SSU rRNA
Rfam family: Bacterial small subunit ribosomal RNA
Source: RNAcentral